This 260-nucleotide RNase MRP RNA is filed under the name Catagonus wagneri (Chacoan peccary). RNAcentral's name for it is "RNase MRP (ENSCWAG00000004819.1)". It matches the Rfam family "RNase MRP". Rfam says of the family: RNase MRP is an enzymatically active ribonucleoprotein with two distinct roles in eukaryotes. In mitochondria it plays a direct role in the initiation of mitochondrial DNA replication. Lineage: Eukaryota; Metazoa; Chordata; Mammalia; Artiodactyla; Tayassuidae. The record is from Rfam by way of RNAcentral.
GCUCGUGCUGAAGGCCUGUUUCCUAGGCUACAAACGGGGGAUUUAGUUCCUCAUUUAUGCCUAGGGGAAAGUCCCCGGACCUCAGGCAGAAAGUGCCGCGUGCACCUGCACGUAGAUAGGCCCUGCACCUCACGGUUUAACCCGCUAAGAAGCGAUCCCGCCGAGCGGCGUGCUGCAGGGGUGUUAUCCGUCAAAUGAAAUAGUUACGCAGGCAGUGCACUUCUGUGCACCAACCACACGGGGCUCAUUCUCAGCACGGC